This 261-nucleotide ribosomal RNA is filed under the name uncultured bacterium. RNAcentral's name for it is "partial 16S ribosomal RNA". It matches the Rfam family "Bacterial small subunit ribosomal RNA", at positions 793 to 1055 of the family's 1533-position model. The record is from RNAcentral.
GUCCAUGCCGUAAACGUUGGGCACUAGGUGUGGGUCUCAACCAACGAGAUCCGCGCCGUCGCUAACGCAUUAAGUGCCCCGCCUGGGGAGUACGGUCGCAAGACUAAAACUCAAAGGAAUUGACGGGGCCCGCACAAGCAGCGGAGCGUGUUGCUUAAUUCGAUGCAACGCGAAGAACCUUACCUGGGUUUGACAUGUAGGGAAAAGCUCUAGAGAUAGGGUGUCCUUCGGGGCCUUACACAGGUGGUGCAUGGCUGUCGU